GUAGGGAAUAUUGGACAAUGGGCGAAAGCCUGAUCCAGCCAUGCCGCGUGGUAGAUGAAGGCCCUCUGGGUUGUAAAUACCUUUUAUCUGGGAAGAAAUAUCUCGUUCUCGAGAAACUGACGGUACCAGAUGAAUAAGCACCGGCUAACUCCGUGCCAGCAGCCGCGGUAAUACGGAGGGUGCAAGCGUUAUCCGGAUUUACUGGGUUUAAAUGGUGCGUAGGCGGAAUUGUAAGUCAGUGGUGAAAGCCCCGAGCUCAACUUGGGAACUGCCAUUGAUACUGCUUUUCUUGAAUACGAUUGAGGUAAGCGGAAUGUUGCAUGUAGCGGUGAAAUGCUUAGAUAUGUUACAGAACACCAAUUGCGAAGGCAGCUUACUAAGUCGUGAUUGACGCUGAGGCACGAAAGCGUGGGUAGCAAACAGGAUUAGAAACCCGAGUAGUCC
RNAcentral lists this ribosomal RNA (444 nucleotides) under uncultured bacterium. RNAcentral's name for it is "partial 16S ribosomal RNA". It matches the Rfam family "Bacterial small subunit ribosomal RNA", at positions 354 to 796 of the family's 1533-position model. The record is from RNAcentral.